This is a small nuclear RNA of Pipistrellus kuhlii (Kuhl's pipistrelle), 102 nucleotides long. The record is from RefSeq and is a predicted model, not a curated record. NCBI's taxonomy places the organism in Eukaryota, Metazoa, Chordata, Mammalia, Chiroptera, Vespertilionidae.
UUGCUUCAGCAGCACAUGUACUAAAAUUGGAAUAAUACAAAGAAGAUUAACAUAGAACCUGCCCAAGGGUGACACCUAAAUCAUGAAACAUUUCAUAUUUAA